UCCGGUUUGUCACCGGCAGUCCCAAUAGAGUGCCCUUUCGUAGCAACUAUUGGCAAGGGUUGCGCUCGUUGCGGGACUUAACCCAACAUCUCACGACACGAGCUGACGACAGCCAUGCAGCACCUGUGUUCUGGCUCUCUUUCGAGCACCCCCGACUUUCAUCAGGGUUCCAGACAUGUCAAGGGUAGGUAAGGUUUUUCGCGUUGCAUCGAAUUAAUCCACAUCAUCCACCGCUUGUGCGGGUCCCCGUCAAUUCCUUUGAGUUUUAAUCUUGCGACCGUACUCCCCAGGCGGUCAACUUCACGCGUUAGCUGCGUUACCAAGGAAAUGAAUCCCCGACAACUAGUUGACAUCGUUUAGGGCGUGGACUAC
This 372-nucleotide unclassified non-coding RNA is filed under the name uncultured Gammaproteobacteria bacterium. RNAcentral's name for it is "contains 16S-23S intergenic spacer region". The record is from RNAcentral. Lineage: Bacteria; Pseudomonadati; Pseudomonadota; Gammaproteobacteria.